CUUUAGAUAUGAUCCAGAGUACCACGGGACACGUGAAACCCUGUGGGAAGCAGGAGGGACCACCCUCCAAGGCUAAAUACUACCUAGUGACCGAUAGCGUAUAGUACCGUGAGGGAAAGGUGAAAAGAACCCCGGGAGGGGAGUGAAAUAGAACCUGAAACCCUGCACUUACAAGCUGUGGAAGCACAUUUCUUGUGUGACCGCGUACUUUUUGUAGAACGGGCCAACGAGUUACGUUAAGUAGCAAGGUUAAGCACUUAAGGUGCGGAGCCGUAGCGAAAGCGAGUUUUAACUGAGCGUUCAGUUACUUGACGUAGACCCGAAACCGGGCGACCUACCCAUGAGCAGGAUGAAGCGAAAGUAAAAUUUCGUGGAGGUCCGAACCCACGAGCGUUGAAAAGCUCGGGGAUGACUUGUGGGUAGCGGUGAAAUUCCAAUCGAGCCCGGAGAUAGCUGGUUCUCCCCGAAAUAGCUUUAGGGCUAGCCUCAAGGUGAGAGAUACGGAGGUAGAGCACUGAAUGUCCUAGGGGGUAUUGCACCUACCGAAGACUAUCAAACUCCGAAUGCCGUCAUCUUAUACUUGGGAGUCAGACUGUGGGUGAUAAGAUUCAUAGUCGAAAGGGCAACAGCCCAGAUCGUCAGCUAAGGUCCCUAAAUGUAAGUUAAGUGGUAAAGGAUGUGGGAUUGCACAGACAACCAGGAUGUUGGCUUAGAAGCAGCCACUCAUUCAAAGAGUGCGUAAUAGCUCACUGGUCGAGUGAUCCUGCGCCGAAGAUUUCCGGGGCUAAAACUU
Molecule: ribosomal RNA, 793 nt
Filed under: Clostridioides difficile
Lineage: Bacteria; Bacillati; Bacillota; Clostridia; Peptostreptococcales; Peptostreptococcaceae
Description: partial 23S ribosomal RNA
Rfam family: Bacterial large subunit ribosomal RNA
Source: RNAcentral